GUUUCCGCUCUUCAUCGAUGGCUG
This 24-nucleotide microRNA is filed under the name Oryza sativa (Asian cultivated rice). RNAcentral describes it as "osa-miR7693-5p". Lineage: Eukaryota; Viridiplantae; Streptophyta; Magnoliopsida; Poales; Poaceae. The record is from miRBase by way of RNAcentral.